GAUGAAGAACGUAGCGAAAUGCGAUACUUGGUGUGAAUUGCAGAAUCCCGUGAACCAUCGAGUCUUUGAACGCAAGUUGCGUCCGAAGCCAUUAGGCCGAGGGCACGCCUGCCUGGGCGUCACACGUCGUUGCCCCCCCAUCUACUCCUUCGGGAUUGCGGGGGGCGGAUGAUGGCCUCUCGUGCGCCUCGUCGCGCGGUUGGCCUAAAUGCCAAGUCCUCGGCGACGCACGCCACGACAAUCGGUGGUUGCGAAACCUCGGUUGCCUGUCGUGUGCGGUCGUCGCGCAUCGAGGGCUCGAAAAAAUUGCCGGGCUUCGGCUCGACUUUCAACGCGACCCCAGGUCAGGCGGGGUUACCCGCUGAAUUUAAGCAUAUCAAUAAGCGGAGGA
This 391-nucleotide unclassified non-coding RNA is filed under the name soil metagenome. Its description in RNAcentral is "partial contains 5.8S ribosomal RNA, internal transcribed spacer 2, and large subunit ribosomal RNA". The stretch from base 1 to 122 matches the Rfam family "5.8S ribosomal RNA", at positions 35 to 154 of the family's 154-position model. The record is from RNAcentral.